This is a long non-coding RNA of Hevea brasiliensis (rubber tree), 405 nucleotides long. RefSeq lists it as uncharacterized. NCBI's taxonomy places the organism in Eukaryota, Viridiplantae, Streptophyta, Magnoliopsida, Malpighiales, Euphorbiaceae. The transcript has 3 exons. The record is from RefSeq and is a predicted model, not a curated record.
AGUUGACCGGGUCUGCAAAUUUCGGGCCAAACAGACCCGUUACCGAAAAAGUCCCCGAAUUGGAUCGAGGUUUUGGCUAGCCCCCCAUUGUCAGACGUCCCGAGCGCGUUCCCGAAGUCGGAAUCGGCAAAGGUGAGCCGGGACAGCCUUCUUCCUCCGCCCAGCCGCCACAGUGAUUGUCGUCAAGUCUGCCACAGGAGGAUAUUUUGUUCUGGGUUAACCUGCUUUUCUACUUCGCAGGUUGUUUAUCAAUAUUUGUGUAAUUUUAUUUACUCCUAGAAUUUCCGCAUGUGUUAGCAGUAAUUAUUUGAAUUUGGUCUGUAAUAUUAUUAUCAUGUUGGACCUGUAAACUUAAUAUUCUAUGUCUGUUUUGAUGGAUUGGAUGAGGGAGCUGAGCUCCCGUUU